Molecule: ribosomal RNA, 407 nt
Filed under: uncultured bacterium
Lineage: Bacteria
Description: partial 16S ribosomal RNA
Rfam family: Bacterial small subunit ribosomal RNA
Source: RNAcentral
AUUGAACGCUGGCGGCAGGCCUAACACAUGCAAGUCGAGCGGAGCGGCGGACGGGUGAGUAAUGACUAGGAAUAUGCCUGGUAGUGGGGGAUAACUUCCGGAAAGGGGCGCAAAUACCGCAUACUAUAAGAUGGGCCUAGGUCGGAUGAGCUAGUUGGUGGGGUAAAGGCCUACCAAGGCGACGAUCCGUAAUGGGUCUGAGAGGCUGAUCAGUAACACGGGAACUGAGACACGGUCCAGACUCCGACGGGAGGCAGCAGUGGGGAAUAUUGGACAAUGGGCGAAAGCCUGAUCCAGCCAUGCCGCGUGUGUGAAGAAGGUCUUCGGAUUGUAAAGCACUUUAAGUUGGGAGGCGUUACCAACAGAAGAAGCACCGGCUAACUCCGUGCCAGCAGCCGCGGUAAUAC